UGUGUGUGUGUGUGUGUGAUGAUAGAUUUGGAGGGCACCAUAUGCUGUGCGAACAUAUUUUGUUGUUUUUGUCACUUCCUCUCUGCAGGAUAACAGUUCUUUUUUGUUGAGGUUGUAAAGGAGUAACACCUAAUGCUAAGGUGUGUGGUGAAUGUGGAAAGGUGUGAGGGUUUCAUUUAGGCAGUUUUUUUGAUCAAUUUUGUGUAUGAUGUGUUUGUUCUGGUGAAAGUUGUUUGCUCUGGCUUAAGCCUUUUGUGUCGCUGUGACAAUCUUGCAAGAGGUGCAAAGGCUUGUUCUCACCUUCGCAGCGAUGUAUCUGGCGGCACAAAUCGUGAGUGAAAUCAUGAUUUUAGUUUGUGAGAAAACAUGUUGGUGUCGGCAGGGAAGCAGGAUGUGUGUCAAGGACCUCGAAGAGUUCAUGAAUAUGCAAAUGUCAUAGUAUCAAAGCAAUGCUCAAUUGUUAAUGACAAAUCUCAGGAUUUUGUGACACAGCUCGAUUUUUCAACUUGACUUCUAGUUGAUGUUCAGUUACCUGUAAAUGGUCCACGUGGAGAGCUCCACAAAGCAGCGUAGCGUUUGACCACACCAUGUGCGGCCCCUUAGGAAUGCAAGCAUCUUGGAGUGCAAGCCGCAACAGGUUUAACCCACAUCGCCCUGUCAUCUGUGUCCCUGUCACAGGAGAACAAAGAGGGAUGACGAAAGCAACAACGGACAUUGAUGCAUCGUUAAGAAAUGCAAUUAAGAAUGUUUCAUUUCUGUUUUUUUUUUUUAUUUUUUUUUAAAAAUCUGAUGUAAGGACAUAAAUCGGAGUGUGCAUUUCAGCUAGCAUUAAAGAUCAUCCGUCACAUUUGUUUAGUCACAGAAAGUGCUGUGCAUGCAGAUCUGAGCACAAGCUUUGGUGUAAUUUAAUCAUUUUGAGCUCUUAAUUACACACCCAUACUGAUCUGAUGGAACCCCAUGUCACUGUGUGCAUUAUUUGUUAUUGAAAUGGCUCGAGUACAUUGAGCUCAGCAGCAGCAGGUCAGCGAGCUUUAAUUACAGUAUGAAUUAUUAUGAGUAUUAUUUAUUAGAUUGCCAAUGUGAGCACAGAUGUACCAUGAUAAACACCUAGUAUAUGCCGUAUUGCUGGUACAUCUGGUACCUCUGGUACAUCUACCAUACACAGUGCCCUCCCCUGAUAUUGGCACCUUAUAAGCAAAGAAGGCUGUGACAAAUUGUCUUUAUUGUUUAACCUUUUAUUUUAAAAAAAUUCCCAAAAUUCUCUGCUCUCAUGGAUAUCAGACAAUUGCAAACAAAAAAACAGGUUAUUUAAAAAAAAAAAAAAUCUUUGUUAAAUAUAGGUGUGCAACAAUUAUUGGCACUCUUUUAGUCAGUACUUUGUGCUAUGUCCAUUUGCCAAGAUAACAGCUCUGAGUCUUCUCCUAUAAUGCCUGGUGAGGUUGGAGAAUACAUGGCAAGAGAUCUGAGACCGUUCCUCCAUACAGAAUCUCUCCAGAUCCUUCACAUUUCGAGGUGACACUGGAGUACUCUCCUCUUCAGUUCACCCCAUGGGUUUUCUAUGGGUUUCAAGUCAGGGGACUGGGAUGGCCAUGGCAGGAUCUUGAUUUUCUGAGUGGGCAGUAAGAACCAGAAGGUCACUCUGAUGGAACUACAGAGGUCCUGCACAAGUGGACAAAUCCUAAAUUUUCUAGCGAUGCCAGAGAAAAAAUGAAAGCUCCAGUGUGCACAGAAAUGGACUAAUCUAAAGAGUGGUAGCUAAGGGUCACAGGGAGCCUGGAGCCUAUCCCAGUGGACUUGGGGCACAAGGCAGGGGGACACCCUGGAUGUCAGGUGUGUCAGGAUGUCAGGUGCCAACCCAUUGUAGGGCACAAUCUCACACACACUACAGACAAUUUGGAAAUCAAUCUUUGGACUGGCGGAGGAAACCCGAGUACUCAGAGAAAACCCCCAAUGCACAAGGAGAACAUGCAAAGUCUGCGCACACAGGGCGGAGGUGGGAUUCGAACCCCAAUCCUGAAGGUGCGAGGCAAAUGUGCUAACCACUAAGCCAUGAUUAUUAUCCAUUUAAGUUUCUAAAGUAGCACAUUGUAUGUGUACUGUACCGUUAAUAAACAGUCAACUAAUCUUUUGCGAAUGUUCUGUGGCUCCAUACAAGUUUGAACUCUUUAGCAUGAAUGCCAAGUGCUACAUCAACAGAUCAUAACACAUAGGCAUCUUUGUAGAAAAAAAAAGUGAUCAGAACCUCACACAUGGUCGAAAGUUAACCUUUAGACAACAGAAACACACAGAGAAGACACGACUAUGAUCAUCCUUGAGUGGUCUAGACGGAGCUUGGUUUUUACCCAGUUGAAUGUUUCUGGAAAGACCUGGAGGUUCCUCUAAACAGACUGGAGGAAUAUCCUUGAAUUCAGGUGUGCCAAGCUCAUAGCAUCAGACUCAAAAAGACUGUAAUUACUGCCAAUACUGCUUUAACAAUGCAUUGAGUAAAGGGUCUGAAUAUUUGUUUCAAAUAUAUCUUUCACAGAUUCAGAAGGAAAAAAAAUGAAUGCAGUACAUUUCAGAGAAAAGAGUAAUGUAGGUGGAUACACCGUGCAUGUGUGUACAGUACCCUACAGCUGCAGAAGCACUUAACUUGCACUGCUGAUGAAGGACUUUUGUCUGAAACAUCUUGAUUCUCUGGUAACCUUGAGUACUUCAUUGAACUUUUACUACUUAUACCAUGUACUAACAAGGCUAUUUAAGGUCUUUGCUAUGGCUCUGUUGCUUUUCCUACUUGAGUUGUAUUUAGUAAUGUUGACCCUGAGUGUCUCAACAUGUUUUCCUGAUAAAUUAUUUUUUUUUUAAACAAAAUGUCUUUAUUUAUGCUAAUGAAUGCACACUGUUUUGUUCAUAUUCAUAAAUACGAGUGUGUG
Long non-coding RNA from Ictalurus punctatus (channel catfish), 2912 nucleotides. Lineage: Eukaryota; Metazoa; Chordata; Actinopteri; Siluriformes; Ictaluridae. The record is from Ensembl.